GCCGGUGUGGCGGAAUGGCAGACGCACAUGACUCAAAAUCAUGCGAGAAAUCAUGAGGGUUCGAGUCCCUCCACCGGCACCA
Molecule: transfer RNA, 82 nt
Filed under: Inconstantimicrobium porci
Lineage: Bacteria; Bacillati; Bacillota; Clostridia; Eubacteriales; Clostridiaceae
Description: tRNA-Leu
Rfam family: tRNA
About the family: Transfer RNA (tRNA) molecules are approximately 80 nucleotides in length. Their secondary structure includes four short double-helical elements and three loops (D, anti-codon, and T loops).
Source: RNAcentral